RNAcentral lists this signal recognition particle RNA (89 nucleotides) under uncultured Halioglobus sp. Its description in RNAcentral is "Bacterial small signal recognition particle RNA". It matches the Rfam family "Bacterial small signal recognition particle RNA", at positions 5 to 90 of the family's 97-position model. Rfam says of the family: The signal recognition particle (SRP) is a universally conserved ribonucleoprotein involved in the co-translational targeting of proteins to membranes. Archaeal SRP consists of a 7S RNA and homologues of the eukaryotic SRP19 and SRP54 proteins. The record is from RNAcentral. Lineage: Bacteria; Pseudomonadati; Pseudomonadota; Gammaproteobacteria; Cellvibrionales; Halieaceae.
GGUCCCUCCGCAAUGAUAGGCAGUGAAAUCCGCCAGGCCCGGAAGGGAGCAACGGUAGUUGCUGAUUCGUGUGCCGGAAUGUGGCUGUC